GGAACUCUCCAGUUUUGACUCAGAUCCUCUACCUCCUGCCCCUCUUCUGUGUCUGGCAGUGUUUCGCCGUGCGCUCCCUAGGCUGGGUAGAGAUGACCGAGGAGGAGCUGGCCCCUGGACGCAGCAGUGUGGCAGUCAACAAUUGCAUCCGUCAGCUCUCUUACCACAAAAACAACCUGCAUGACCCCAUGUCUGGGGGCUGGGGGGAAGGAAAGGAUCUGCUACUGCAGCUGGAGGAUGAGACACUAAAGCUAGUGGAGCCACAGAGCCAGGCACUGCUGCACGCCCAACCCAUCAUCAGCAUCCGCGUGUGGGGCGUCGGGCGGGACAGUGGAAGGGACUUUGCCUACGUAGCUCGUGAUAAGCUGACCCAGAUGCUCAAGUGCCACGUGUUUCGCUGUGAGGCACCCGCCAAGAACAUCGCCACCAGCCUGCAUGAGAUCUGCUCUAAGAUCAUGGCCGAACGGCGUAAUGCCCGCUGCUUGGUAAAUGGACUCUCCCUGGACCACUCUAAACUUGUGGAUGUCCCUUUCCAAGUGGAAUUCCCAGCGCCUAAGAAUGAGUUGGUCCAGAAGUUCCAAGUCUAUUACCUGGGGAAUGUACCUGUUGCUAAACCUGUUGGGGUAGAUGUGAUUAAUGGGGCCCUCGAGUCAGUCCUGUCCUCCAGCAGCCGUGAACAAUGGACCCCAAGUCAUGUCAGUGUGGCCCCUGCUACCCUCACCAUCUUGCACCAACAGACAGAGGCAGUGCUGGGAGAGUGUCGGGUGCGUUUCCUCUCCUUCCUGGCCGUGGGCAGAGAUGUCCACACGUUUGCAUUCAUCAUGGCUGCCGGCCCAGCCUCCUUCUGCUGCCACAUGUUCUGGUGCGAGCCCAAUGCUGCCAGCCUCUCAGAGGCUGUGCAGGCUGCGUGCAUGCUUCGCUACCAGAAGUGUCUGGAUGCCCGUUCCCAGGCCUCCACCUCCUGCCUCCCAGCACCCCCUGCUGAGUCUGUGGCACGGCGUGUAGGGUGGACUGUCCGCAGGGGUGUUCAGUCGCUGUGGGGCUCCCUGAAGCCCAAACGGCUGGGGGCCCAUACCCCAUGAAGAAGCCCCCACCUUCCCUCCACCUGCUUGUGUUGGGCCCCAGGGAACUAAAGGGUGUGGGUCAGGGAGGGGUCUAGAGGCUAUUCCUAGGCCUCAGGCCUCCCAAAUAUGCCCCUCCCCAGUAGCUACGGUUCCCUGCCUAGGAGCUGGGGAGGGAGAGAUCUAAUCCCUUCAAGGAAGUGAUAACACUGGAGUGGUAACAAGAGGAGCAGGAAGCAAGGCCAGCCCUGGUUCUCCAUCCCCAUGUGUUUCAGGUGGAACAGGAGGAACUGGUCCAGGCCAGGCCUCAUCCUCCUGGACCCAGCAGGGGCAGAAGGAGGAAGGGACUGGUCCAGGCAUGGGUCCCUUCCCCCUGCUCCAUGGGCACCUCUGCUGU
RNAcentral lists this small RNA (1458 nucleotides) under Pan troglodytes (chimpanzee). RNAcentral's name for it is "retained intron". The record is from RNAcentral. Lineage: Eukaryota; Metazoa; Chordata; Mammalia; Primates; Hominidae.